GCAUUGCUUGAACGCGCCAUGGAUCCUCUCUCAGAACUACAAGAUGACGUGACCCUGGAUGAUACCAGCCAAGCUCUGAACCUGUUGAAGCUGGCCUCUAUUGAUGAGAAGAACUGGCCUUCUGAUGAAAUGCCAGACUUUCCCAAGUCAGAUGACUCCAAAAGCAGCUCUCUAGAACCUGUCACACACCUGAAAUGGGAUGACCCUUACUAGGACAUUGCCCGGCACCAGCUUGUAGAAGUAGCAGGUGAUGAUAAAUAUGGACGGAGGAUCAUUGUAUUUAGUGCUUGCCGGAUGCCCCCCAGCCACCAGCUGGACCACAGCAAACUCUUGGGGUACUUGAAACACACACUGGACCAGUAUGUGGAGAGUGACUACACACUCCUGUACCUGCACCAUGGCCUGACCAGUGACAACAAGACCUCCCUCAGCUGGCUACGGGACGCCUACCGAGAGUUUGACCGCAAGUACAAGAGCAUCAAGGCUCUGUACAUCGUGCACUCAACCAUGUUCAUCAAAACUCUGCUUAUCCUCUUUAAGCCCCUCAUCAGUUUCAAAUUUGGACGGAAGAUCUUUGUGAAUUACCUGAGCGAGCUAAGUGAGCACGUGAGGCUAGAGCAGUUGGGGAUCCCUCGCCAAGUGCUCAAGUAUGAUGACUUCCUCAAAUCCACACAGAAGAGCCCUGCAACAGCUCCCAAGCCCAUGCCACCACGAAACACAUUCCCAGACAGACAAAAAGGUGUCUUCACUAAUGCCUUAUGCAUUUCUAAAUCUAAUCAAACUGACAGUCUGAAUUAA
Molecule: RNA transcript, 798 nt
Organism: Mastomys coucha (southern multimammate mouse)
Lineage: Eukaryota; Metazoa; Chordata; Mammalia; Rodentia; Muridae
Gene name: rho GTPase-activating protein 1 pseudogene
Exons: 3
Source: RefSeq, a predicted model, not a curated record